AUAUUUACCUGGCAGGGGAGAUCCCGUGAUCACGAAGGCGGCCUUCCCAGAGCGAGGCUUAUCCCUUGCACGCCGGGUACACUGACCCCUGCGAUUCCCCAAACGUGGGAGACUUGAUCGCACAAUCUGUGGUAGUGGGGGGCUGCAUUCACGUGCUCCGCUG
Molecule: small nuclear RNA, 163 nt
Organism: Pteronotus mesoamericanus
Lineage: Eukaryota; Metazoa; Chordata; Mammalia; Chiroptera; Mormoopidae
Product: U1 spliceosomal RNA
Exons: 1
Source: RefSeq, a predicted model, not a curated record